AUUGAACGCUGGCGGCAUGCCUUACACAUGCAAGUCGAACGGCAGCACGGGUGCUUGCACCUGGUGGCGAGUGGCGAACGGGUGAGUAAUACAUCGGAACGUACCUUAUCGUGGGGGAUAACGCAGCGAAAGCUGUGCUAAUACCGCAUACGCCCUGAGGGGGAAAGCGGGGGAUCGCAAGACCUCGCGCGAAUAGAGCGGCCGAUGCCUGAUUAGCUUGUUGGUGGGGGAAAAGCCAACAAAGGCGACGAUCAGUAGCUGGUCUGAGAGGACGAUCAGCCACACUGGGACUGAGACACGGCCCAGACUCCUACGGGAGGCAGCAGUGGGGAAUUUUGGACAAUGGGGGCAACCCUGAUCCAGCAAUGCCGCGUGAGUGAAGAAGGCCUUCGGGUUGUAAAGCUCUUUUGUCAGGGAAGAAACACCGGCCCUAACACAGUCCGGGAAUGACGGUACCUGAAGAAUAAGCACCGGCUAACUACGUGCCAGCCGCCGCCGUAA
RNAcentral lists this ribosomal RNA (501 nucleotides) under uncultured bacterium. RNAcentral's name for it is "partial 16S ribosomal RNA". It matches the Rfam family "Bacterial small subunit ribosomal RNA", at positions 29 to 523 of the family's 1533-position model. The record is from RNAcentral.